Molecule: long non-coding RNA, 766 nt
Organism: Harpia harpyja (harpy eagle)
Lineage: Eukaryota; Metazoa; Chordata; Aves; Accipitriformes; Accipitridae
Exons: 2
Source: RefSeq, a predicted model, not a curated record
UGCUUGGGGCUGCAGCGCUCCGGGAGGGAGCGGCCGGGUCGCCCCGAGAGGGAGGAAUCGCCCCUUGCCCUCGGGCGGGCAGCCCGCUGCCAAAGUUUCAGGCAGCCGGUAAGAGGUGACGCGAGGAAACGCCUCCCCAGACCGAGGAACCACUCGAGGAAAUAGUAAAUGGCCAGCACGGGGACUGUGGAAUUACAUCCUCUCCCGGUCGCUUGGAAGACGUCCAUGAAUAACAAGUGUCCCCGGUGGAAACGAGGGGAAAUGUUUACUGCUGUCAUGUCUGACCAAAUCGUUUUGUAGACGGAGCUGCUGCCGGCGGGAAAUGUAUAUGCAAGCAGACAAAAUAAGGCAGUUAGGCAUCGAGACGUCAUACAAAUGGCCAAAAAUUACCUGUUGCCCAAACAGCUAGGCAGUUAUCCUAGGAAACAUACCAUGUCACAGGUCAUUUUAUUUACCCUUCAUAUUUCCCAAUUUGAAGCAGACUGAGAAAAAAAAUUCUCUCUGUCAAAAGGUUGUUCUCCCAAUAAUGGUCUCAUGCAAUAAAUUACAGCUUUACCACUGCUUUGACCCUUCACUUAAUUGCUCGUGCUUCGGAAGACGGCUAAUAAUGAGAUUACAACAUCUACACUGGGUCAGAUUGAUGUCAGCCUUAGCUACCCAGGUUUCUUUAGCUACCCCGUGGAUUAAUUUGGCUGUGUCGAUUCUUUUCACUUCUAUUUACCUUAACAAUUCCAGUUUGAAUUAAAACAUGAAGAAUCCUACGAGA